Molecule: ribosomal RNA, 156 nt
Filed under: uncultured bacterium
Lineage: Bacteria
Description: partial 16S ribosomal RNA
Rfam family: Bacterial small subunit ribosomal RNA
Source: RNAcentral
CCUACGGGAGGCAGCAGUGGGGAAUAUUGCACAAUGGGGGAAACCCUGAUGCAGCGACGCCGCGUGGAGGAAGAAGGUCUUUCGGAUUGUAAACUCCUGUUGUUUGAGGAAGAUAAUGACGGUACUCAACAAGGAAGUGACGGCUAACUACGUGCC